Molecule: long non-coding RNA, 4465 nt
Organism: Myotis daubentonii (Daubenton's bat)
Lineage: Eukaryota; Metazoa; Chordata; Mammalia; Chiroptera; Vespertilionidae
Source: RefSeq, a predicted model, not a curated record
UCAAUUAUUGAUUGCGCCUCAAGCACACCCUCUCCUGGGGAUCAAGCCCCCAACCUGGUCAUGUGUCAUGGCCCCCUGGUUCAUAAAUCUACGCUCAACCACUGAACCACACCAACCCUACCCUUGUGCCUCUUUUGAGCUGCUUCUGCUCCUACCUAGAAAAACUUCAACCCUGAAAGCAUCCACAUUGUCAGUAUUCAUCCAGAGGGCUUUUUCCUAUGGAAAAUAAUCACAAAUGAGUAAAUUAGUACCUCUACUGGGCCCUCACAUUGCCAGCAAAACUUAGUACCUUUUUGUAAUCACUUCAGUCAUCAAAUGGCCUAGCCAUCUUAUUUCAAAGAGAACUACAGGAUAUUUAUUAGAAACUGCCUCAAAGCACUUACACUCUCUAAACCAACCUCAUCCACAGUUUUAGCCUUUUUCUGGUGGCCCAAUAAAAACGGAAACAACAUCAAAAAAUUGCUUGUGCUCUAGCUCCUUAACUCCCAGGCUUAAAACACUGAUUUACCUCUUUAUCUUCAACUUCUUCCUUAAUGGAUCCUUUCUGUUCACAUUUAAUUUUUAAGCUGACAUUCUAUAUAGCAUAAUAAUGUGUUAAUAUUCAUAAAUUAACAUGUAAUUAUGUUGCAUAUUUAGUAAUUAUGUUAUGAACGCCUACUUUAAGAAAAUUAUGCUUGAAUCCUACAUCUUAUCAGCUCCUACUUAGCUCUUUAACUGUCAAGAUGAUCUCCCUUUCACUUCUUAAUGCAUUUGAUCUACUCCUUUUGGUAAGGUCACCAAUAAUCUCCAAUGCGCCUCUUCAGUUUUCCUCUCUUGUUUGUUUUACAGAAGCAUUCCAUACGGUUGACCUCUUCCUUAAAAUACUCUUAUCUUCCUGGAUGCUAUAUUCAUGUGGUUUUUCUCCUCCCCUCUCUAGCUGCUGUUCCUCAUUCUGUUUACUUGAUUUCUCCACCGCCCCAUCUUGAAAGUGUGUUCCUCAAAGUUCUUUAGCUUUUUUCUCCUUUUUAAGCUGUAUACUCUCUCUGGCAGCAACGCCUAUGAAGAAUUAUUUUCAAAUUCACAUGUCUGGCACAAUUCUCUUUUCUGAAUCUAGAUCUGACUUCUUGAUAUGUUUACUUGAAGGCCUCUCAAAUUUUGAAGUAAUCUCAACUUUUCUUCCAGUGGGCACCAUCUACUAACAUGAGUAUGCCAGAAAUCUGGAAGUCAUUUUCAACACUGUUUCUUUCAAUUCUGCACCAGCAUCACACCUAUUACCAAGUUCUAUCAGUUCUUCCUAAAUAUAUCUAAUAUCUAUUUAUUAAAAAUGUUUAAAUUAUUUUGAUGAGAGAUAUGUGUACAUGAAUGUGGGGGGGGGGGGUUGUUGUUUUAACUGAUUUUAGAGAGAGAGGAAGGGAAAGAGAGAGAGAAACAUCCAUGUGAGAGAGAUACAUUGGUGGGUUGCCUCCCGUACAUACCCUGACCAGAGAUGGAACCCAAACCCUGGAUAUGUGCCCUGACCGGGAAUCCAACUGGCAACCUUUCAGUGUACAGUGUGACACUCAACCAACUGAGCCACACUAGUUAGGGCCAUCUGUGUGUUUUAAUUUAAAUUACUCAAAAAGGUUUAUCAUGAAAGACAACAAUCAUGCUAACAGUCUUAUUCCUUCCUACCUAUAUUCUGUUUUCAGUUUUGCUGAUUUAGUAUGGGAAAGGAGAAACAGUUUGUUCAACAAAUAUUUGAGCCCUUAUUAUGGAAGAGGUACUGUUGCAAUUGCAGGGUAAGCAGCAGUGAGAAAAAGAAACCCAACCCUUAUUAGAGUUUAUAUUUGAGAGAUAAAGUAGUAAAAUAUGUAAUAUGCUAAGAAGAUGCUUAAGUGCUUGGAGAAAAAGCCAGGAAUGGGGAUGGAGAUAAGUGUAUGGGCUGGAGGGGAAUUGCUACUUCCAAUUUAAAAUAGGUUAGGGCAGUGGUUGGCAAACUCAUUAGUCAACAGAGCCAAAUAUCAACAAUACAACGAUUGAAAUUUCUUUUGAGAGCCAAAUUUUUUAAACUUAAACUAUAUAGGUAGGUACAUUGUUAUUAACUUAAUUAGGGUUCUCCUAAGGCUUAGGAAGAGACACACUCAAGGGGCCAAAGAGCCGUAUGUGGCUCGCGAGCUGCAGUUUGCCGACCACAGGGUUAGGGAAUCCUGUCCAGGUGACUCAGUUGGAGCGUCGUCCCAUGCAACAAAGGUUGUGGGCUCGAUCCCGGGUCAGGGAAUGUACAGGAGGCAAAGGAUAGAUUCAUACCAAUGUGUAUGUCUGUCUGUUUCUCUCUCUCUCUCUCUCUCUCUCUCUCUCUCUCUCUCUCUCUCUCUCUCUUCAUUCCUUUCUCUAAAAUAAUAAUAAGCAUAUCUCGGGUAUGGGGUUUUUAAAAAAAAAAAAAGACAUAAAAAGCUGACAUUUGAGAAAUGACUCAAAAAGGCGAUUGAAUAUUCAAGCAAAAGAAUGUAGCUGUGCCCCACCAGUGUGGCUCAGUAGUUGAGUGUUGACCCAUGAACCAGGAGGUCAGAGUUCGAUUCCUGGUCAGGGCAUAUGCCCCAGUUGUUGGCUUGCAAGAGAGGAGCAUGCAAGAGGCAGCUGAAUGAUUCUCAUGAUUGAUGUUUCUCUCUGUGUCUCUCUCUCUCUCUCUUCCUCUCCCUUCUUGUCUAAAAUCAAUUAAAAAAGAAAAAGAAAUUAUAGCUGCAAAGAUUCUGAAGCAGGAGCGAACCUAGAAUAGCUGGAUUGAAGUGAGUGGGGAAAGGAUGGUAGCAUUUGAGGUUAGAAAGGGAACAUUGGGGGCAACUGUAAUGAUUGUUAUUUAUCCUGAGGUGGGAGCAAUUUUGGGGUUUUGAGGAAAGUAAUGACAGUUUGACUUAAUUUACAAAGAAUCUUGGCUGCUGUGUUGAGAAUAAACUAUAUAGUAGGGCAAGAAGCAGGGAGGCUGGGUUGGAGGCCAGUGCACUAAUCCAGAGUGGUUCUCCUGGCUCCCUGUCAGUUGGAACAUGAGGCUUAGACUUCCAAUACUGAAUCUAUUGCAGAGGCCUUCGUGGUGAGCCCUGUGGUAUGGUGGCCAGUGUGGUAUCCUCAGCAGAUUUGUCCUCUGGCCAAGGCUUUAAUGCAGCCAUUCACACAGGUCAAAAAUAAAUAAUAGCCGAAACCAUCUUCUUCUCAUUGUCCCUCAGACUUACAGUUACCCUCUCCAUGUUUCUAAUUUUUGAUAAUACAAAGUGCUGUAAUGAAGAACCUUCAUGAAUCAUUUAAUAAAUGGUGAAUUUAUCUGUAAAACAAAUCCAAUAACUGGAAAUUCUAGAUAACGGGAGACAUAGCUUUGUAAUUCUAACAUUCCUGUGUCCCCCUCAAUAGAGAUAUAUAGCAAUUUAUACUUUAGCCAGUUUUUGAGGGUGUCUGUUACCCCAUAUUCACCAAUAUGAUGUUAUCAAACUUUUGAAAACUUUUGCCAGUCUUUUUGUUGUCAUUAAUCCUCACCUGGGAUAUUUUUCCCAUUGAUUUUUAGAGAGAAUGGAAGGGAGGUGAGAGAGAGAGAAGCGUUGAUGUGAGACACACAUCAAUUGGUUGCCUCCCACAAAUGCCCUGACUGGGGCUGGGGAUCAAGCCUGCAAGCAUAGUAUGUGCCCUUGACCAGGUUUGAACCACAACCCUUCCAUAUGCAGACCAAAGCUCUAACCACUGAGCACCCGGUCAAAGCUUGCCAGUCUUAUAAUUGAAAAAUGUUACCUUGGUACCCUAUGCAUUUCAUGUUGUGUGAGGUUGAACAUUUUUUCAUAAGUUAUUAGUACUUCUUUUGUGUGAACUGCUUAUAAAUAUUGCUUGAUUUUUUUUUCUUAUUGGAUGUUGGUCUUUUCUUAGUUAUUUACAGGAGCUCUUUUUGUAUUAGGGGGGAAAAGUGGGGUUUUUUUUUAUUGAAUAAUACCUGUACAUAGUAAUGAAAAUGAAACAAAAUAGUAUAUAGUCAGUCUGCUUGUCUUCCUUAAAGACAAAUACUUUUGUUUAUUUGUAUUCUAGAAAGUGUUCCUCUCUAAAUUGUGUGUGUGUGUAUGAGAGAGAGAGAGAGAAAGAGAGAGAGAGAGACCUUAUAUGAAUAAGGAGACCUGUGUCCCCUUAUUAAUAUAUCAUUAGGAAGAGCCUAUAUGAACUGUUGUUCACUUUGUUUAUUUAUCUGUUUAUCAACUACAGACCUCCUGAUAUGAAGAUAUACUGUCUUAACCUCACACAGACACAGAUUGACACAUCAUCGCUCUGUAUCUUAUUAAUGUACUUACCAUAAUACUUGGUUAUAGCUAAUAUAUAUUACUUACUAAGUAAACAUCAUUAUGAAUGAGCCAAGUAGUAUAAAUUCCAUCUGUAUUUUCUUUCUUACAAAAUGUUAUUCUUCCUGCCAUUAAGAAUUGCCUUAAUUACAUGUUGAUGACUUUAAAAGCUGAAAAUAAUAAACAAUAUUCUGCUAUGA